CCGGCACGGUGAGGUAACACGUAUCCAACCUGCCGUCUACUCUUGGCCAGCCUUCUGAAGGAAGAUUAAUCCAGGAUGGCAUCAUGAGUUCACAUGUCCGCAUGAUUAAAGGUAUUUCCGGUAGACGAUGGGGAUGCGUUCCAUUAGAUAGUAGGCGGGGUAACGGCCCACCUAGUCAACGAUGGAUAGGGGUUCUGAGAGGAAGGUCCCCCACAUUGGAACUGAGACACGGUCCAA
RNAcentral lists this ribosomal RNA (237 nucleotides) under uncultured bacterium. RNAcentral describes it as "partial 16S ribosomal RNA". It matches the Rfam family "Bacterial small subunit ribosomal RNA", at positions 105 to 334 of the family's 1533-position model. The record is from RNAcentral.